Molecule: ribosomal RNA, 255 nt
Filed under: uncultured bacterium
Lineage: Bacteria
Description: partial 16S ribosomal RNA
Rfam family: Bacterial small subunit ribosomal RNA
Source: RNAcentral
UACGUAGGGGGCAAGCGUUGUCCGGAUUUAUUGGGCGUAAAGAGCGUGUAGGCGGCUAGAUAGGUCCGUUGUGAAAACUCGAGGCUCAACCUCGAGACGUCGAUGGAAACCAUCUGGCUAGAGUCCGGAAGAGGAGAGUGGGAAUUCCUGGUGUAGCGGUGAAAUGCGCAGAUAUCAGGAAGAACACCCGUGGCGAAGGCGGCUCUCUGGUACGUGACUGACGCUGAGACGCGAAAAGCGUGGGGAGCAAACAGG